AUAGCAUAUCAAUAAGCGGAGGAAAAGAAACCAACAGGGAUUGCCCUAGUAACGGCGAGUGAAGCGGCAACAGCUCAAAUUUGAAAUCUGGCUCUCGGGCCCGAGUUGUAAUUUGUAGAGGAUACUUUUGAUGCGGUGCCUUCCGAGUUCCCUGGAACGGGACGCCAUAGAGGGUGAGAGCCCCGUCUGGUUGGAUGCCAAAUCUCUGUAAAGUUCCUUCAACGAGUCGAGUAGUUUGGGAAUGCUGCUCUAAAUGGGAGGUAUAUGUCUUCUAAAGCUAAAUACCGGCCAGAGACCGAUAGCGCACAAGUAGAGUGAUCGAAAGAUGAAAAGCACUUUGAAAAGAGAGUUAAAAAGUACGUGAAAUUGUUGAAAGGGAAGCGUUUAUGACCAGACUUGGGCUUGGUUAAUCAUCUGGGGUUCUCCCCAGUGCACUUUUCCAGUCCAGGCCAGCAUCAGUUUUCCCCGGGGGAUAAAGGCGGCGGGAAUGUGGCUCUCUUCGGGGAGUGUUAUAGCCCACCGUGUAAUACCCUGGGGGGGACUGAGGUUCGCGCAUCUGCAAGGAUGCUGGCGUAAUGGUCAUCAACGACCCGUCUUGAAACACGGACCAAGGAGUCGUCUUCGUAUGCGAGUGUUCGGGUGUCAAACCCCUACGCGUAAUGAAAGUGAACGCAGGUGAGAGCUUCGGCGCAUCAUCGACCGAUCCUGAUGUUCUCGGAUGGAUUUGAGUAAGAGCAUACGGGGCCGGACCCGAAAGAAGGUGAACUAUGCCUGUAUAGGGUGAAGCCAGAGGAAACUCUGGGGGAAGCUCGCAGCGGGUUCUGACGUGCAAAUCGAUCGUCAAAUAUGGGCAUGGGGGCGAAAGACUAAUCGAACCUUCUAGUAGCUGGUUUCCGCCGAGC
RNAcentral lists this ribosomal RNA (902 nucleotides) under Didymella sp. RNAcentral's name for it is "partial large subunit ribosomal RNA". It matches the Rfam family "Eukaryotic large subunit ribosomal RNA", at positions 35 to 966 of the family's 3401-position model. The record is from RNAcentral. Lineage: Eukaryota; Fungi; Ascomycota; Dothideomycetes; Pleosporales; Didymellaceae.